This is an RNA transcript of Pongo pygmaeus (Bornean orangutan), 1377 nucleotides long. It is a transcript of the gene named chromosome 10 C12orf54 homolog, with no coding region annotated. The transcript is spliced from 9 exons. Lineage: Eukaryota; Metazoa; Chordata; Mammalia; Primates; Hominidae. The record is from RefSeq and is a predicted model, not a curated record.
GUUGUGAGAUGGGGCUCCAAUAGGAAAAAGUCUAGGGGUGAAGGAGUGGGGCAAAGUGUAAUUUGGGGAACCAAUCAGGAUAAGUUUCUAGGCAUAAUUGACCUGGUUCUUGACUGGGGCUUGGAGGCCAAGAAGGGUGGGAAUGGGAAAAGUGGGAGGGAAACUUCUCAAAGGAGGAUUUGUCACCUGUCUGGGUCACUGCCUAUGAGCCCUUCUUCUCUACAAAGCACUUGAAGGCUGGAGCUGAUGGCCAUCCAUCCUGAAACUCUAUCCUUAGUUAACCAUGAAAAUUCUGACUGAGGGCCUGGAGCUAUCUCCAUCUUCAGCUCCAGAGUCCUUGGUUCCUGUCUGAGAACAAAUGGCACAGCAUCCCUGCCAGGAUCAAGAACAAAAGGCAGAAAUGACCUCCAAGCAGCAGAGAAGCACAUCCAUAGAAGAGACAAUGAGACCACAGGAAAGACAUGUAACCAUCACUGAAACCCUGUGGGACCAGGUGCUGACAGUUUUUAAGGAUAUACAAAAGGAGCUGCAGGAAGAUGCUCGGAUUCGAGGGAUGAGCAACUGCUCCAUGACACCCAUGACAUCAGCACCCAGGACUGGAGAAUAAGGCCUCCAGAUUCCUUGAUGACCCCAAAGUUGAGAAGAUUGCAAUUCAGCUCUGGAGAGCAGCCAUCAGGAGGCCGUGUCCACAACCUGAAGACACAGCUCUUCAGUCAAUCAGCUUUCUACCCUGGACCCUAACUCUAUAAUCAAGGAAGAAGGACAUCUCUGCUUCAGCCAGCACAUACAGCACAGCUUCAGUUGGGGAAGAUAUUAGCAGACAUCAUCACUGAACCCAGAAGAGAGGGUGGUGCCCAUGAGUGGAGAUGCGAGGGUCUAUGGCUGAAACUGGGAACUUGGAAAUCAAGUGAGACCCAAGCACAUUCCAACUGCCAAAGCAAGGAAACCAGCAAACAAACAGCUGAUGAAAUAAAUGUGACAUAAAAGACUUGCCCUCCUGGUUCUUCCUGGGCUGUGGAAUGCAUAGUGAUAGAAUUUCCAAGUAUGAUAGUGCAUUUGGUUCAAAGAACAGCACUGUAGCAUGGGAGAACCUGCACUAUAAUGUCAUAAACUCAGUCUGACUUUGUCUGAGUUUUUCUUCUUUGUGGGCCUCAGUUUCCUCUCCCAUAAAGUAAGUAGUUGUUACUAGAAAAUUCUGAAGGUACCUUUCAUUUCCAAUAUCCUGUGAUCUGGAUGGUCUCACAGUCUACCAUUUAAAGAUAGUUACUCCCAGCCUAUGAAAAGACCACCUAGUACAAAAGUAUUUCCUACAAGAAAGGACUGUUUAGGGUAUUUGUCAAAGAUGGUAAUCUUUGUAUAUAUAAAUGCGCAUAUUAC